RNAcentral lists this long non-coding RNA (20824 nucleotides) under Nicotiana benthamiana. Its description in RNAcentral is "long non-coding RNA (NBEN_LNC031951)". The record is from RNAcentral. Lineage: Eukaryota; Viridiplantae; Streptophyta; Magnoliopsida; Solanales; Solanaceae.
CUAGGUUUCCCAUAUAAAGCUGUCCGAACAAACGCCCCCACCCGCAUUUCCAGUCAUCUUCUCCAACAACGAACCCUAAUCCCGCCGCCACCAAACCCCACCGCCCUAGGGUGGCGCCGACGCCUCCAAUCACCACCAAAAUUACACCCUUCGUCUUUCUCACUCUCCUCUUCCAAUCUAUGGCAAGGAUUUCUUUCGAAUCAAACCCUAGCUGUUCGAAUAUGUGGUCGAAAGUUUUUCCCAAUACACAAAAGUGUCCAGACAAGCUGAGAUUGAUGCCAGGCAGUCUCGUCGUCCUCUUAUUCAUAAAUCUAGGGUCAGUUUCCGUCAAAUAUCUCCAGGCCAUCCCCAAAUUUAAAUCUAGGGUUCAAGCUUUUCUGCCAUUUGAGAGCUUCAUUUGCGAAUGAUUUUGCUUAAUAUAAUGAAUUUAUUUCGACCGAGGUAAACCCCUAAUAUUAGUCAAAGUUCGUUCCCUGAAAUCCUAUGUGCAUGGAUUUGUUUUAGUAAGUGACCUUCUCACUUCUUCCUAGUUUUUUAGUUCGACUCAUGUUUUAUCUCGUAAUUAAUUGUAGUUUUAGUUUCUGAAUAAGUUUAAUUAGUAAUUCGCUUGCAAGUUUCUGACAAAUUCAGAUUAUUAGUCAUUCAUUGGGAAAUUCAUGCUUAUGAUUAAUUGUUAGCUCAUGUUUCUAAACUUGUUUGAUUUUCGUCCUGUUUUAGUUUAGUCAAUCGUUAGUAAAUUGGUUGUGUUAAUUCAGUUCUAGUGCAAGUAAAUAGUGUCAGUCAAAUGUUUUUGUGAAAAUUGUUGCUUCUUGAUUAUCAUGAUAUUUUGAUUCUGUGAGUUGUUGGGAAUUUCAGCUGUAGAUUUCAUUUUUGAUUAAUUAGUUUAAUUAGCCAUUCAAAUAGAAGGCAUUAUGUAGAGAUUUGGGAUUUAUUUCUGGGUAGCUGAUUGACCUUUGGUUGAGCAGUAAUUUUAGGAGGUAUAAGGGGUAAUUUGGGCAUGGGAAAAGGGUAUUUUAUUUAGGAAUAGUAUUUUUAAAAUAGGGAAGUGGUAGUAUAGGAAUUGUAAUGGGAAUAGGACCUUCUAGAAUAGACUUUAGUAUAGUAUUUUGCAAAGAAGAGGAACUUACUUGAGUAAAAAGUCAGAAAUGAGAGGAUUAAAAUGAAAAUAAGGAGGGACUAAUAUUGCAAAUUAAAAAUAUGAGGGUCGCCUCAUUUGUGCCUAUAAACGAGCAUUUCCUUUACUUCAUUCACAAGUUGGGCAGCCUAAAAAUCCCCCACAAAUCCCUUUUCAAGUUUCAGACUUGAGAAUCAAAAUCUGAAAAGCCAACUUCAUUUUUAGCUCUUAGUUAUAUCAAAAAUCCAAAAACAAAACAAAAUGUAGUGAAAACUUCAAAUAAAAAUACUCUUACAUUGCAUUUUCUUGUUCAAUUUUGAAUUCAGGGAUUGGUUUUCAUCUCAUCUAGUUCAAUAUUCAUCAGCUCAGGUUUCUGGGAGAUUAGUGAUUGGUUUUCAAGAGGUUUUUGGCUUAUCUGAUUCAGUUCUGAGUAGAUCUGAUGGCUACUGUGUGAAUUUUAUCUUCUAGUUAUUGGUCUACAUUGUUUUUUGGUUUCUGAUCAUUCAAAGUUUUGGAGGUGUUAUUGAAUGAUUUUGAGGGAAUUUGGGGUUCAAGAAGGACUGUUUUAGGCUGUUUUUAUCAUCUAGGAAUUUCAAAAAUGGUUCUAGUCCAGUUUUGAGUUGGUCUGGGUGGUUUCAAAUAGCUUUGGUCUGAUAUCGGGUUCAUUCGGGGAUCAUUGGGAAUUUGUUUGAGUUUGUACGAUUGUGUACUGAAUUGGUCUAUUGCUAUUACUCUAUUUCGGAACAUUUCUGAGUUGUGAAACAUUGCUGGGCUGCUUGUAGUCAUUUGGUUAUUGCUGCUGACCUUAUUUCUCCUUUGUUCACUCUUCCAGGUACAUAUUUCGAGCCCCGUUGAUGUAUCAGUGCUGUUGAAAACAUGAAUAAAUAGAAGUUAUGCUCCUGAUGAUGUUGUCUAGUUUUUUUUCCAGCAUUGUUAAUUAUUACUGGUUUUGCAUUUUUUUAAUCCGAAUUGUAUAAGCAUGAACAUAUAUUGGACUGAUUGAAUACAUCUUGUGAAUGGCUCGAGUCUAGUGUUAAGUAGUUUAACAAAUUCAUGUUAUGUUUGGUUCCUAAUCCUGUAGAUGUUAAUGCUAGGAUGAUUUAGCUAGUAAUUGAAAGUUAAAACAUAUCCAGACAUUGUUGAUUCAAAACUUUUCAAAUCGAAUAAGGAGCAGUCAACUUGUAGGCAAUAUGAUUUCCAUCUAAGUUUCUAGCCCGUGUUCGCUCAUUAAAUUGAUUAGUAGUUGUUUUAGUUAUGAAUUGUUUAGCGGCAUUUGAAUUAAUUUGAAAUAAGAGAAGUCUAAUUAGUCAUGUUUGAUUAAUGGGCUUCAAAGGAUAAAGUUGCUAAGCCUAAUAUCUGUAGUUCGUGAGUUUGGUUGAAAAAUAAGCUUUGGUGCAGUCAACUCAGGGAAUCGACCCCAAGACCUCCUGCUUGAGGUUUGUUGGGUUUAAGCUGAGAAACCGCAUGUCUGUCCAGUUUGGGCCUCAAUCUACGCCCAUAUGUCCUCUCAGCUUGGUCUUUUGGGCCUGCCAUUUGGGCCAAUCUGAAAUUCCAUUCAAGGUUUAAAUAGCAUGAACUUUGGUUUUGAGUUAGGUAACGGGUUUUAAAUUAAAGGUUCAUCAUUUUAUUUGGACCCGGACUUGAACUUGAAGCCCAAGAUUUAAUAAUAAUUUAAUUAGGACUUUCUUCUUUUCUUUUAGAGACAAAAAUCAAAAAAUAGAAAAAUCAUAGUCGAUUUUUUAGGCUUGCCUUUUAAAAUGAAAUGAGAUGAGGCUCGCCCAAUAAAAGUGCCAAAAUGCGGGGCCCUCAAAAAAGGUUUUAAAAAAUAUUUAGAUAAUCGGAAGGGCUAUUUAGCAAAUUUCAUGACCCUCCCAAAAAAUUACAACGCGUUAGACCCCAUUAAGCGUGAUUUAAAUAAUUUUACCUUCCUAAAUUUGGGUGGGAAUUUAUGCGGCCCAAAUCCAAAUCCUAAAAUGUUAAAUAGAGUGUGUCUAGGAUUGCGGGUUCAGUUGAUGCGGCGCAAUCCGAAAACACAUUUUAAACGACGUUCACUUUCUUAAAGAAAUAAAUAUCAAAAAAGCGCUAAAAAGUAAAAAUUGGUAAUAGGUUCUUCAUGUAAUUAAAUCAGUUAAAAGCUAAAUGCAACAAUGAAGCGACCGUGCUAGAACCACGGAACUCGAAAAUGCCUCACACCUUCUCCCGGGUUAACAGAAUUCCUUAUCCGGAUUUCUGGUUCACAGACUGUAACCGAGUAUUUUCCUCGGUUUCGGAUUCAACCGGUGACUUUGGACACCAUUAAUCUCCCAAGUGGCGACUCUUUAUAAAUGAUAAUAAAUCCCGUUCCGAUAGUCCUUUAAGUGAGAAAACUGCUUUACGCCCCUUUGCGGGGGUGUACAACAAAAAAGGAGGCGUGACAGUUAUGAUGACUCUGUUGGGGACAAGAACCCAGAAUCUCUGGUUCAGGGUUCAGAAUUCGAGGUUAGAAUAAUUGUUGUGUUUAGUUUUAUCUGAUUUUGCUACAUGUUAUGUGCUUAAUGUGCUAAUUGAUUGCUUUUACCGCUUUGAUAUUACGUGAACUAUAUAUAAACUGUGCCAAACCGAAUCUCCUCUCUGAGUCUUCUGAAUUGGGAAGAAGGGUGUACGGUGUACAAAUUCUUCUCUGUCUAGUAUCAAAAUCCCAAUUUAGAACGAGGUUCGGAUAAGUCGCAAAGCCGGUGAAGCUUCUGUAUUCCCGGAUUGCCACCUCCCCCUCGGCUCGAGCCGUCCGCUCAGGUAAGCUAGGUAUAGAACAAACACCCAGGUUUUGACCCUAGAAUAACUUAACCUCAUGCCGGAUCCGUAGUAGGAACGCUUAUCUGCAUCAUGUGCAUUUUGACUUAGGGGACUCAACACAUGGGUUGGGUCCGUCUAGGGCUAGCAACCUGAAAUGAAAAGACCAUCCUGAUGCAUCCUACGUGCUUUUCUGUGCAUUUAUUUGCUCGAUCCUGCAUGUGACCUUCUUUCUAAAUCUCGGGAAGGUUAGAAAAUGAGAAAGGGGGAAAAUAAUGAUUCAGAAAGUUAGCUGAUAAGUUCAGAAAAACCAUUGCCCAAGUAUUGUCGGAGUUCUACCGAAAUUUUGAAGAAAAUAUAAAAAAGAAAAAUAUCUUAUUUUUUAAAUAGUUGUUUCAGAGUCCGUCAUUAUUUUUUAGUUUGUCUUGUUUGGGAAAAUGGAAAAUGAAAAAUAGUUUGUUUUGCCAUAAAAAUGGAAAAACAAAAGGGUUUUUGAUUUUGCUUUCUUGCUUCAAAAUAGUUUAUUUGCCAAUGAAAAUAGGGUAUUUUGUUAAAGAAAAAGAGUCUUUAUUUUUAAUUCGAAAAAUGGUGGUGGAAAAAAGGGUCUUUAUUUUUAAUUUGGAAAAUAGGUUGUUUGUUGAAAUGAAAAGAAAAAUCAUUUUUUUGUCUUAUAAUAUAAAAGGAAAAAUAGUUUGUUUUGCUAUGAAAAACGAAAAAAAAACAGAGUGUUUGUUUUAAUCAUGUUUUCGAAAAUGAAAUAAAAGAGAAAAAAUAGUUUGUUUUAAAAUAGUUCGGUUAAUUUGCCCGAACUACGCAUGUUUUGAUUCUCACAGGGCAUGAGAUACGUAGGCGACCUUCAUCGGGUCCAACCCUCCGUUUAUAAAAAUAUCCCAAAAAUGUCAAAAUUUUAAUUUUUGCCACAAAUAAGUCAAGUAAGGCCGCUUUGUCAAAAAUAGCCAAAUGUUCCUAGAUGGGACGCCGGAAGGCUGAAUUUGCGUAAACGGCCUUCUUGAUAAAAUGUGAAUUUUGAUUGGUUGAAUACACAACCUUUAAAUCUUCGUUUCAGAAGUGCUGAAAGGUCGUGUUUGAAAAUAAAGUCUUUUAUUUUCAAAUUUGAAAACACGCAAAAUAGCAUAUAAACAUGUUUUAUCUCUUUUGAGUCAAAUAAAAUUUUUUCUUUUGCCUAAUCACCUUUAUAAAUGUGCAGGAUGAGCACAAAUCAAAUGAAAUCGUUCUUAGUUUUUAGCGAGGUCCCUCUACAGCUCCACAUGUGGUGGAAUGAUCUGGGAGAUGAUAGUAAAAGAUAGUGGAAAGAAUUUUGGGCAAUCUCGUCGAUCUGUUACUUAUCAAGCCAAAGAUGGAUGUCAUUGAAGCUUUAACACCGCUUUGGGAUCCAACCCGUAAUGUAUUCCUUUUUACAGACUUUGAGCUUACACUCACACUAGAGGAAAUUGCGGGUUAUGCAGGUUUGGACGGGAAAUUGAGGGGUCAAUAUUUGCUUUCACCUAGACCGGUGUCUCCGCAUAGGUUUUUGAAUUUGCUACACAUUAAUUGGAAAGUGCAAGAUGAAGAUCUGUCAAAAGGCUGCUGUACUCUCCAAUUCUUAUAUCAACGGUAUGGUACUCCUCGGGGUUUUGAAGAGCCAUAUCUCGGACUAACUCAUGAUAAGGACAGAAACAAAUGGGAGUCAAGACGUCCUUUAGCUUUCCUGACAGCCUUCAUGGGAAUCAUGGUUUCUCCACGCAAAAAUAAGAAAAUUGAUAUAGGCCUUGUAGGGAUGGCCGACGUUGCAAUCAAAAGGCCUAACAACACUGUGGUCCCUUUUGUAUUAUCUGAAAUAUACCGAGCCUUAACUGUGUGUCGAGAGGGUGGUGAUUUUUUCCAGGAAUGUAAUAUAUUACUUCAGCUAUGGAUACAGGAACAUCUCUGUCAUCGAGUGGGAUACAUGAACCACGGGCUAACUGGAAGGAACUGCAUCAGUGGCUUUUAGAAACGGGUAGCAGGCGUUGAAUUCCCUGGAGGUGUCGAGGCUUGGUUCGCACGAUUGAGGUCAUUAACAACUAAUCAAGUUGAAUGGGCAUUUGGGUGGUUGCCGGAUACCGAGGUAAUACACAUGGCGGCCGAAGAAUGUCAUCUUCUUUUGAUGGAGGUUCGCACCAUCCAGCCCUACGCUCCUCAUCGAGUAUUACGCUAGCUAGGAAGGUUCCAAACAAUCCCCACUGACGUGGGUUUGAGCAAGCAUGCCAUUGAGUUAAGUCCAGGGGCCUCAUUUCCCGAAAAGGUAGUUCAAAAGCUAUGGAAUGAGUGUAGAUUUCUUGAGUCAAAAACCAUGGUUCAAGAACGAGCUAAAGGAGAAGUAGAUCCGAAGUACGAGCUAAAGGAGAACGAGAUAGGGUCAAAGCCAUUUCUCAUGCCAUUGUGAGAAGAUGCUGGGCGUGUGAACAUAUGACUGUUACUACCUUUGUCCUAGCUGUAGUGGUCUUUGUUAAACGAACUUUGCUUGAAUUAGAGCAUCUUGAACACGAUUUGGAACCCAGGUCCGCGUCGAGGCCGAAUGACGACCCGCAGACACCUAAGUUUGAGUCAUUAGAGUAUGCGUAGGUUGUGUCUGUAUCUUUUUUUUAUUGAGUCCGUUUGUCAGUUGUUUUUCAUGUCAAGAUGAGUCUGUAGUUUGAAGUUGGUACUUGGUCUUAGUUUGUGUCUGUCAUUUCUUUCGCAAAAUGUUUAGUUUGUAAUAGCUUGUGUUUGCAAUUAAAAUUUGAAAAUCCCAAAAAUAUUUUCUUUUUAUUUUUGCAUUUAUUUUCACGAACUACGCUUGGUCUAAUUCAUGUGGGGUCACAAUACGUAGGCCAUCUUCAUAGGAUUCGACCAUAGCCUUAAAUAAAAGAGAAAAAAAGAGAAAAGAAUUGGAGGUAAAAGAAGGGAAAGAAAGAUAAAUGGAAAACAAAGGCGAGAAUAAAAGAAAAAAAGAAAGAAAAGAAGAGCGGGAAAACCAGGGUAAAAAUAAGAGCGGAAAAGAGCAAGAGUGGAAAAACAAAGGUGAGACUAAGAAAGGGAAAGAAAAGAGCAGAAUAGAGUAAGAAAAUGAAAAGGAAUGCCAGGAUGAUACAUGUGGACGAACAAAUGCAUUAUAGAAAUGAUUAACUGUAUAGGUGCAUUCCUGCCAACGUGCAGUUAUCAAAUAUGUUAAAACUAAUCAUUAGCCAAGUGGUUUUUUAAAUGUGUGAGUCCAGGCAUGUGGUUAGUUGAUUAGCAAUUCUGGCAACUCACCAUUACAACACCCGGUCGAAGGACAAAAAAAUGACUGGACAUGACUCGGAUACUAGUAUAAUGGACCCUACGAAAGAGGUCGAGGUGAUAGAUGUGGGGGAUAUGAAAGAAGAAAUGAAGAAGUUUAAAGCCCAAAUGAAGGCCAUGCACCGGGCUUGGUCUCAGGGGCACCCAGCACCAUUAUACCAUGCUAACCCCUCUUAUAUCCCGCACCUAGCGCAGGCUCAGGAAUCUUCCACUCCCGAAACAUCUCCCACCCUUCCAGUAUAACACCCAAGGGUAUGCCACUACUUCAUAUGCUCCACCGGCUCCACCANNNNNNNNNNNNNNNNNNNNNNNNNNNCAAGGCGAGUCCAAAAGACAACUUUCCAUUGCCAAACAUCCACAUAUUGAUCGACAAUUGUGCCAAACAUGAGAUUGGUUCUUUUGUGGAUUGAUAUGUGGAUUUCAAACAAAAUCCUCCUCUGCCAGUGGCCCACUCCUCCAGUUCCAUUGCAAAGGUCCUCUAGUGAACCACUAUUCCAAGCCCAUGACGCCCAAUAUUACCCGCCUGAGCCCACCUUUAAGGCUCCUGACCGUGCUCAUAUACCCCUCACUUUGAGAUCCCAGAAGAAGUCCAAAAACCAGUUAAAAAUUCAGAGCAUGAGCAAGUGAUCAGAAAAUUCAAAAGCCUGGAGCAAUCCUUCAGGAACCUUUGAGAUCCUAGAAGAAGUCCAGAAACCAGUUAAGAAAACAGAGCAUGAGGAAGUGAUCAGAAGAUUCAAAAUCCUGGAGCAAUCCUUCAGGAACAUGCACGGAUUGGGCAGUCAGGUCAGUGUUGCCUAUAAGGAUUUAUGCCCUUUUCCGGAUGUCCAGUUGCCCACGGGAUUCAAGAUUCUUAAAUUUGACCUGUACGAGGGACAAUGUGACCCGGUACCUUACCUCCGAGGAUUCUGAAGUAAGAUGAAGAGGUGCUGGGGGAAAAUUGAAUUACUGAUAGCCUACUUUGGUCAGCCUGAGCGGGUAUGCAUUGGAAUGGUACACCAGACAGGACCCUAGUCGAUGGUACACCUGGAAUGAUCUGGCACAAGCGUUCAUUGUCCAUUUCCAAUAAUACCUCGAGAUAGUCCCUGAUCGUCUAUCAUUGUUGAAUUUUGAGAAGAAGCCGGGAGAAAGCUUUAGAGAAUUUGUGUUCAGAUCGAGAGAGCAAGCUGGCAGAGUGGAUCUCUCAAUGAGAGAAAAUGAGAUGGUAGAUUAUUUUUUGCAAACGUUGGAGCCGACAUGCUUCGGUCACCUAGUGGAUUUCUGUGGGUAAAUCAUUCAAUGAGGUAGUGAAGAUGGGCGCCAUGAUUGAAGAGGGUUUAAAGUCCAACAAAAUGUUGAGUUAUUCAGCACUGAAAGCAACAACGCAGGCUAUACAAAGCGGCACUGGGGUGUGCUAGGUAAGAAGAAGAACGAAAAAAUGGCCACCUUGAGUUAUUCAACACUGAAAGCAACCACGCAGGCUAUACAAAGCGGCACUGGUGGUGUGCUAGGUAAGAAGAAGAAGGAAGAAGUGGCCAUAGUGGAAGCUAGCACCUAGUCGAGGCCCAGCAAUCCCCCACCCUACUAUAGCCAACCAAGACCCCACCACCCAAACUAUCCAUAUACUCCAUAUGGCCCACAACAACACUACUACCCUCCACCAGAACCACACUUCUCUGUCCACCAUGCCCAAACAUAUACGCAGCCUCCGGCACAUCCACAAUGGCGUGCGCUGGCUUCCCAAAACACAUAUACACCCCCACAAAACACCCAUCCACACCCCAGGGCUAACAAACCAGGACUCGGCUUCUGCCCGAACUAAAAUGUUCGAAAUAAGAGGGCCCCAAACAAAAGAACUUUUACCCUAUUGGGAGAAUCUUACACCGCUUUAUUCCAUAGACUGAAGCAGUUGGGAAUGUUAACCCUAAUCGAGCCCAAAGUACCAAACCCACCUCCCAGAAACCUGGACCAGUCCGUCAGCUGUGAGUAUUGCUCAGGAAUGCAUGGGCAUGAGACUGAAAAAUGUUGGAAGUUGAAGAAUGCAAUAAAAGAUCUCAUUGACAACUGCCGUAUUGAAGUGCAGGCUCGGAGGCGCCAAAAAUCAAUCUGAACCCACUAGGAAUGCCUGGGCAUGAGACUGAAAAAUGUUGGAAGUUGAAGAAUGCAGUACAUGAGCUCAUUGGCAGCCGCCAUAUUAAAUGCAGGCCGCAGAGGCGCCAAACAUUAAUCAGAACCCACUGCCAGCACAUCACGAUACCAACAUGAUUGAGUUGGUGCACAAGGAUGGGGAGGUGAAGAAACCCUCAAAAACCAUAGUGAUGAUUCGUGCUGUUGAGACCAGUUCAAAUGAGAAGCCGACCGAGGAACAGGCAGGGGUGAAGUUGAAAGAUACAAGUGACAAGCCAGUGAUGGGGAAAGAAUUAUCUGUUAUUGCAAAGAAACCAGAACUAAUUAAGUUGGUGUACCAGGACGUCACCCGCGCCCGUGGUUGUUGUGAAGGGUGCUUACAUAGAGCCAGUGAUCAUCAACCCAGUAGUCCAGCUACCCAUGGUUGACAGCAAAGCUGUGCCUUGGAAAUAUGAGAAGGUGAUAGUAACGUGCAAAGGAAAAGCGAUCUAGGGGGAGAGCUGUGAGGCGCAAGGGUUGACUCGAUCAGGGCAUUGCUUCGCUCCUGAGGAGUUGAGAAAGGCUAGGGCUACUAAAGACAGUCCAGCGUUGGUGAAAAAGGCUGUUGCAGAGGAGGAAGCAAAGGAGUUUCUAAAAAAGAUGAAGGUACAAGACUAUUCUAUUGUCGAGCAGCUGAGGAAAACACCGGCCUAGAUUUUGAUAUUGUCAUUGUUGAUACACUUUAUUGAACAUCGCCGAGCUUUGAUGAAAAUAUUAAAUAAAGCCCAUGUACCUGAUAAGAUUUCAGUGACCUACUUGGAGACAAUUGCUAGUAGGAUCUUUGAGGUAAACAGGAAAACGUUUUCGGAUGAUAAGUUGCCCGUGGAAGGAACAAAGCAUAAUAAAGCCCUUUACUUGACAGUCAAAUGUGAAGAUUCAGUGGUGACCAGAGCAUUGGUAGAUAAUUGGUCUAGUGCAAAUAUUUGCCCGAUAUCGACAUUGAACAAGCUAAAGAUCGAUAAUGACAGAAUACGCAGAAAUAGUGUGUGUGUCCAAGGUUUUGACGGGGGCAGAACAGACACGGUGGGGGACAUUAUCCUCGAGAUAACCAUUGGCCCACUUGAGUUUACCAUUGAGUUUCAAGUGUUGGACGAUGCGGUAUCAUACAAUCUAUUAUUGGGACGAAUAUGGAUCCAUGCGGCCAAAGCAGUGCCUUCCUCGCUGCAUCAAAUGGUCAAAUUUUAAUGGGACCGGCAAGAGGUGGUGCUACAUGGAGAAGACCCCACAAGUGUUGCGGGUGGUGAUAUUGUGCGUUUUGUAGAAACUGAUGACGAUAAAGGGCCAUGGGUCUAUCAGGUUUUUGACAUGAUCACUGUGAACAAAGUACCAGAGGGUAAAAGCAUCCCACGUCCUUGAGUAGCAACUGCAACCGUCAUGGUGGUUUAAGAAAUGAUGGGUAAUGGGUUUGUCCCGGGAAAAGGUCUGGGUGCCAAGCUUCAGGGCAUUGUUUAACCCGUGUCCUUGCCCAAGAAUUUAGAUACUUUCGGGCUGGGAUUCAAGCCAACAACAAUAGAUAUCAGAAGGGUCCGCAAGUUGAAAAAGAAAGCUUGGGUUCUCCCAAAACCAAUUCCACGUCUGUCCAAAUCCUUUGUCAGGUCGAGGGCUGAAAAUCAGUUAGCAACGUAGGUGACAGGUUCAUUAAUUGAAGAGAGGGGAAUCUGGAUGAAGGGUUUGAGAGGGUAUUUGCCGAAGUAAACAUGGUUCGUGCCGGUGAAGGUUCCAGUAAUGCAGACAUUCAGUACGUUGGGCCACAUGCUAGGAUCAAUAAUUGGGAAGCCACUCCUCUGCCAGUUCGGAGGGAGGCGGGGUAGUGGGAAUUUGUUUUUCCUUUUGUUUUCACGUGGAUUAUUCCUGGAUUUGUAAUUCUUGUGACUAUGUUCCGUCGAUUUGGAUGAGCUAAGCCUUGUUAUCUUUACGUUUUAAUGAAAUGCAAUUUCCUUCUUAUUUCCUAAUUUUUUUUCCAUUUUUCUUUUCUUUUCUGUACAGUUCUUUUUAUGCUGAUAUCAAUGACAUGACAUGCAUGAGGACUUGUUGGCGCGGUCUUAUAAGCCAACCUAACUCGGAAAUAAUAAUACAAUAAAUUGAAUGUGAUGAUGAAGAGGAAUAUGAUGAUGAUGAAGCCUAUGAGGAAAUUAGUAAGGAAUUAAAACAUUUUGAAGAAAAACCAAAACCGAACUUAAAUGACACAGAAGUAGUUAACCUAGGGACCAAGAUAAUGUCCAUGAAACUAAAAUAACACUUUGAGGAAGAACCCAAACCGAACUUAAAUGAUAUAGAAGCGUUUAAUUUUGUGGUCCAAGAUAAUGUCCAAGAAACUAAAAUAAUUGUUCAUCUAGAGCUGCAACUCAAGGAAGAAAUACUCGAGGCAUUAUUGGAAUAUAAAGACUCUUUUGCUUGGUCCUAUGAUGAUAUGCCAGGGGUGUGUACUGAUUCAGUGGCUCACAAGCUGCCUACUGAUCCAUCACUCCCACCUAUUAAGCAGAAACUGAGGAAGUUCAAAACAGACAUAAGUGUGAAGAUUAAAGAAGAGAUCACUAAGCAGUUUGAUGCAAAGGUUAUUCGGGUUACCUGGUAUCCCACCUGGUUAGCUAAUAUUGUGCCUGUACCAAAGAAAGAUGGUAAAACCAGGGUGUGCGUGGAUUAUCGAGAUCUCAACAAGGCGAGUCCAAAAGACAACUUUCCAUUGCCAAACAUCCACAUAUUGAUCGACAAUUGUGCCAAACAUGAGAUUGGUUCUUUUGUGGAUUGAUAUGUGGAUUACCAUCAUAUCUUAAUGGACGAGGAGGAUGCAUAGAAGACGACAUCCAUCAUGCCGUAGGGAACAUACUUCUAUUGGGUCAUGCCAUUUGGUUUGAAAAAUGUCGGGGCAACUUACAUGAGGGCCAUGAAAUCGAUCUUCCAUGAUAUGAUACAUAAAGAGAUUGAAGUGUACGUAGAUGAUAUGAUUGUGAAAUCAAGGAAGCAUUCUGAUCAUGUCAGGGAUUUGAGGAAAUUCUUUCAAAGGCUACGCAGGUGCAAUCUAAAGCUCAAUCCUCCAAAGUGCGCUUUCGGGGUGCCAUCUGGAAAGUUUCUACGGUUUGUAGUCAGUCGCUGGGGUAUUGAAUUGGAUCCAUCGAAGAUUAAGGCCAUUCAGGAAUUGCCUCCUCCGAAAAACUAAACCGAUGUGAUGAGUUUGUUGGGAAGAUUAAACUACAUUAUCAAGUUCAUUGCUCAGCUUACAACUACUUGUGAAGCCAUUUUCAAAUUGCUAAAUAAAGAUGCCGUGGUUAGAUGGACGGAUGAAUGUCAGAAAGCUUUUGAUAAGAUUAAGGAAUAUUUGUCAAACCCGCCCGUGUUGGUUUCGCCAGAACUAGGGAGGCCUUUGAUUCUGUAUAUGACAUUCUUGGAUAAUUCAUUUUGCUGCGUACUGGGGCAGCAUGACAUCACAGGAAGGAAGGAGCAGGCGAUCUACUAUCUCAGCAAGAAUUUUACAUCUUACGAGGUUAAGUAUUCUCAUCUUGAGAGGACGUGUUGCGCCCUAACUUGGGUGGCACAGAAGUUGAAACAUUAUUUGUCGUCCUACACUACAUACAUCAUAUCUUGGUUAGAUCCACCGAAGUAUAUUUUCCAGAAGCCUAUGCCCACGGGAAGGCUCACAAAGUGGUAGAUCUUGCUUACAGAGUUUGAUAUUAUCUAUGUGAACCGGACUGCAAUGAAAGCCCAGGCUUUAGCUGAUCACUUGGCUGAGAAUCCGGUUGAUGAUGAUUAUGAGCCUUUGAAAAAUUAUUUCUCCGAUGAAGAGGUAAUGCAUAUAGAUGAGUUGGAAUAGAUAGAGAAACCAGGAUGGAAAUUGUUCUUUGAUGGAGCGGCAAAUAUGAAAGGGGUGGGAAUAGGAGCUGUAAUUAUUUUCAAAAUAGGUCAGGACUAUCCUGUUACGGCUCAGCUACGUUUUUAUUGUACGAAAAACAUGACGGAAUAUGAAGCAUGCAUUUUGGGCUUGAGAUUGGCUAUGGAUAUGGGUGUCCGGGAAAUCUUGGUCAUGGGUGACUCGAACUUACUGGUACAACAAAUUCAGGGAGACUGGAAACCACGAGAUAUUAAAUUAAUACCUUCCGGACAGUGCCUGCAUGAGCUUUGUCAAUGGUUUCAGUCCAUGCAUUGUCAAUGGUUUCAGUCAAUAGAAUUCAGACACAUCCCAAGGAUUCAUAAUGAGGUUGCCGACGCUUUGUCUACUUUGGCGUCAUGUUGCAUCAUCCAGACAAGACUUACGUAGAUCCAUUGCAGAUUCAGGUGUAUGAUCAAAAUACUUAUUGUAAUGUGGUAGAAGAGGAACUUGACGAUGAGCCGUGGUUUCAUGACAUCAUGGAAUACAUCAGGAUGGGAAUAUAUCCAGCACAUGCCACAAGUGAUAAAAAAAGGACUAUUCAUCGAUUGGCAAGCAGAUUUCCUGAGUGGCGGAGUAUUGUACAAAAGAAUGCUAGAUCUCGGAUUAUUGAGGUGCAUGGAUGUGAGGCAAGCCACAACUAUCAUGACUGAGGUACAUUCUGGAGUCUGUGGACCGCACAUGAGCGGAUAUGUUUUUGCAAAAAAGAUUUUGCGGGAAGGGUAUUAUUGGCUUACAAUGGAGCGGGAUUGUAUUAGUUUUGUACGAAAAUGUGAUCAGUUCCAAGUGCAUGGAGAUGGGUAUUAUUGGCUUACAAUGGAGCAGGAUUGUAUCAGCUUUGUACGCAAAUGUCAUCAAUGCCAAGUGCAUGGAGAUUUGAUUCAUUUUCCACCGUCAGAAUUGCAUACGAUGUCAGUUCCAAUGCCUUUUGUUGCUGGGGGCAUGGACGUUAUUGGGCCGAUCGAUCCGGCAGCAUCAAAUGGGCACAAGUUUAUCCUGGUUGCAAUAGAUUAUUUUACCAAGUGGGUGGAAGCGAAGACGUUCAAGUCUGUGACUAAGAAAACUGUGGUGGAUUUUGUGCAUGCGAACAUUAUUUGUCGGUUUGGUAUACCAAAGGUGAUUAUCACGGACAAUGGGGCUAAUCUCAGCAUUCAGUUGAUGAAGGAAACGUGUGAGCAGUUCAAGGUUACUCAUCGUCAUUCCACUCUGUACCUCCCUAAGGCAAAUGGUGCGGUUGAAGCAGCAAACAAGAACAUAAAGAAAAUAUUGCGGAAAUUGGUUGAAGGGUCUAGACAGUGGCAUGAGAAGUUGCCUUUCACAUUGUUGGGAUAUCGCACCACCGUUUGUACUUUGGUGGGGGAAACUCCUUAUUCAUUGGUAUAUGGCACCGAGGCAGUAAUACCCACCGAAGUGGAGAUCCCGUCACUUCGAAUAAUUGCGCAAGCUGAAAUCGACGAUGAUGAAUGGGUAAAGACCCGUCUGGAACAAUUGAGCUUGAUCGAUGAGAAAAGGUUAUCAUCAGUGUGCUAUGGGCAAUUGUACCAACGAAGGAUGGCAAGAGCGUACAAUAAGAAAGUACGUUCGAGGAAAUUCGAAGACGGACAGUUAGUUUUGAGGCGGAUUUUGCCUCAUUGGGCUGAAGCAAAAGGAAAAUUCGCCCCGAACUGGCAGGGGCCAUUUGUAGUAACCAGGGUGUUGUCUAAUGGUGCAUUGUAUUUGACAAAUGCAGAAGGGAAAUGCGUAGAAAUUACCAUCAAUUAUGAUGUUGUCAAGAGAUAUUAUAUAUGAUUUCUUUAUUGUGAAUGUACUUGCUUGUAUUUGGCAUACUUCAAAGAUUGAAAUGAAGAAGGCAUUUUGUGCUGCUAUCCAUAUUAAUUCUGAUGCGGUCAAGAGAUAUUACGUAUGAUUUCUUUAUUCUGAAUCUACUCGCUUGUGUUUGGCAUAUUUUAAAGAUUGAAAUGAAGAAGGCAUUUUGUUCUUCUAUCCAAACACUUUUAUCCUUUGUUACCCCGUUGAGCCUUAAUUAUUUUCGUUCAUACCCCUCUUUCGGAAUAAGCGGCACAAUCAAGAAACGCAGGUGCCGAGCAUAAAGCAAAGAAAAAAAGAAAAUAAAAAUAGAGAAAAAGAAAGGAAAUGAAGAAAAAAAGAAAAAAAAAGAAAAGAAAGGAAAAGAAAAGAAAAAGAAAAGAAAAGAAAUAAACAAAAUGAAAAGAAAAGAAAAGAAAAGAAAAGAAAAGAAAAUGAGAAUAGAAGAAAAGAAAAAUCACAACAAAGGUAAUCAUGAUAAAGUGAACUACGUUUGACUUGAUCCCGAAAAGGUACGUAGGCAGCCUUACUCCAAGGUUCAGUCAUACCAAAAUAAAACUCCAAAAGUCCACAAGCAAAAACUAUGGCAGAAGUUGUGGUUCGUUUUGAGAAAUUGGAUCCUGAAAGUUGUAAUGAUAACCCAUUUUGAAAUUGUUUUGAGCCUUUUAUAUCAUUCUCUCUAACCCAUCCAAAAGCCUACAUUACGGUCCAAAGAAAGACCAUCUGAUCAAUUUUUGAGAAAAUGCCAUGUCGAGCAGGGAAAUGUGAUUCGCAAUAGGGGCAACCCUUUGGUCCAAGCCAGAAAGUAGAAAAUGAAAUGAGAGAGUCUUAGUGGUGAAAACCUUCAUGGGAACCCUAGGGUGAAAGGGAGUUUGAGAAGCGGCAAACUGAGAAAGGUCCGUUGGUGAAAUACUGUUCGCUGCAUCGUAGGAUAAAUGAGGUUAAGGUUAGGGUAAAGUAAUCAAGUGAUGGAAGUUCUGGGAAAUGAAGUAUGACAAUUGAAGAGCUGUUUAGUUGGAUCGGUUGGGCCGAUUAAUCCGAAAUGCAUGUCGUGAUCACUAGUGCCAGCUGUUCCAGUCAGAUAAGUUUCUUUACUUUUCCUUUUCAACAAUCAUCUGGUUUUGGAUUCGUUUAUCCUUAACUCAUAAAAUUAUUUCAUUUCAUUCUCUGUCGGGGGUUUCAGUUUGUAAAAAAUGUUUCAAUGUCAGUUUUUUUAAAUGAAAGGGGAAAGGAUUUUAAAGCCCACUACCAACUUCCGAAAAUUGUAAAGCGUAAUGUGGCUAGAGCAUGUCAGCAACAAUGUGAUGCAAAGUGAAAUAAGGGAAGUCGCCAGAAGUUCCAUUGACAGAAUAUUUGGGAAGUGUUAUGGGAAAUGUGAAGGUUCAGGCAAAAGAGUCGGAAAGGUGAAACAAUAGUGGGAGUACAAAAGCAUUCAGGUUGUCAGAAAUUGGGAAAUGUGAAAGUCGGUCAGAAAGUCAGACAGUUCAGAGGAAGUUAGGCAACACAAAGCAAGGCAAUAGAAGGAUGAUGCACCAAAAGUGGCAUCAACUAACCACCAUUUUUAAUCUAACAAAAUUUUCUGGUGAUUGAAACAGGGGCAGAAAACUGUUUGGAAGGAGGAAUUCUCCGUGAAAGAAAAGCGGGCAGUAAUCAAGUUUGAUCGCAAGUGUGGCUAGAGGAAAAUUCAAGAAAACAAGGAGCGACUUGAAGAGAUGUUGAGGUCAGGAGCCCGCUUGAAAAACAGAGGAGUGCAUUUCGGUCUUUAAAUUUUAAAGUUACACUUUGGUCCUAUCGUUCAAGUUUUGGUUUCAAUCCUCAUUAGUAUGUGGUAAGAAGCCCCAGUUUCACCAAACUGGGGCAGAAAGUUCUCUUUGUUUUAUUUAUUUUUGUGAAAUCAGGAGUCCGCUUGGAGAACAGAGACAUACAAUUAAAAAUUUAGAAGUCAGGAGCCCGCCUGAAGAACAGAGGCAUGCAAUCCAAAUUUUAGCAAUCAGGAGCCCUCCUGAAGAACAUAGGUGAUACAAUUCAAGUUAAUAGUUUUAAAUCAAUUCCUUCGUUUAUUUUGGUAGUCAGGAGUUCGCCUGGAGAACAGAGACACAUGCUUCAAGUCAGAAGUCAGGAGUCCGCUUGAAGAAUAGAGACAUGCAUUUAGAAUUUUGGGAAGUCAGGAGUCUGCCUGCAGAACAGAGACAUAUGCUUCAAGUUAGCAGUCAGGAGUCCUUCUGAAGAAUAGAGACAUACAAUGCAAGUUUGGAGUCAGGAGCCUGCCUGAAAAAUAGAGGUGAUAUAAUUCCAAUUUUAGUUUUCAAUCAAUUUUCUUGUUUAUUUUGAAGUCAGGAGUCCGCCUGGAGAACAGAGACAUACAAUUCUAAUUUCAUAAGUCAGGAGUCCGCCUGUAGAAUAGAGACAUGCAUUUAGAAUUCUGGAAGUCAGGAGUCCAUUUGGAGAAUAUUGACAUGCAAUUGGAAUUUUGGAAGUCAAGAGAAAAGAGACAUACAGUGCAAAUUUUAGAAGUCAGGACCCCGCCAGGAUAAUAGAGGAAUACAUUCUAUUUCAAGUUCAGUAGUUAGGAGUCCGCCUGGAGAAUAGAGACAUACAAUUCAAAUUUUAGCAGUCAGGAGCCUGCCUGGAGAAUGGAGGUGUUAAAUUUUAUGUUGAUGUUGAAGUCAGGAGCCCACCUGAGAACAAAGGUAUAUGAUUCAAGCUUCGAAAUCAGGAGCCCGCCUGUAUAACAGAGGUAUUUCAAGUUAAGUUUUAGUCAAAAUUCUUAUUUAUAUAUGGUAACAAGCACCCACUUUUCCAAACUGGGGCAGAAAGUUUUCUUUGUUUUGUCUAUUUUCAUGUAGUCAGGAGCCCUCCUGGAUAAUAGAGGAACACAGUCAGGUUCAAGUGCAGCAAUCAGGAGCCCGCCUGGACAACAGAGGAAUACAGUCAAGUUCAAGUUUAUUCAAGUUCAGCAAUUUGCAGGGAAGGAACAACACCUCUGUUCAUGAUUUGAAGUAAAACCAAGGAAUUUCACCAAGGGAACACACGACAACAAGGAAGUGCAAGAGCAAGUUUGAAGAUUUAGAUAGGACUUUUUGUAAUUCAUAGUUCAUAGCAUAAGCUAGCUUCUUUUAUUUUCGACAUGGUGUAAUAAGGAAGGUCAGCGAGCAGCAGCAGCAGCAGCAAGCGCAGUGAAAUCACAGCUCCUGGUAGUCCAAGCUACCAGACACUCCCGAACUACACUGACCAGAUUCCUGUUUAGCCCAGGAUAUGUAGGCAUUAUUUGAAGCAGGGUGCGGUCAAAACUUUUCAAUAUGCUUCACAACUGAAUAUUUGAACAGGCAAAAAUCGCUCGUAUUUGAUCACUUAUCUUUGCCCGAAAACAUUUCAUGUUUCCGAGCAAAGAGGGCCAGCUGUGAGCACAUGAUUUUUGCCCUAUAUAUGAAUUAUUCCCACAAAAUUCAAACAAAAGAUUUUUCUUUAUUUUUACAAUUUUUUGUGAAUUUUGGUGUCAUUUUGUGUUAAGUGUUUGCAUUUUAUUUGUGCAUGUUAAUUCAUAUGAAAUACAAAAUACGCAUUUGCAUUUAGGCUUUAAUAUUUUAGGAUUAGUUAGGUGUUAAUUUGUUUUGGCUCAAAAUAUGAAAAUUUAUGCAAAAUUAGUUCAUUUUGCAUUUUAGUUGUUAAUUGUUUAGUUUGUCGCGAAAUAGAUUUUAACAUAAUUUUAGGAAUUAAAUUAGUUUAAUUUUUGAAAUAAUUAGAUCUUUAUCUUUAUUUUUGUAUUGUGUAUAAAAAUCAGAAAAUAUGAAAAGAAUAUAAAAUGAAAAAAAAACACCAAAGGAAAUGAAGGGAAAACUAAUAGAAAAGAGAGAAAAGACGAGGGUCUUCUUAAAUUGGGCAAUUUUUAUUGCCAGCCCAAGUCUUCCCCCCCAAAACUACACCUGAACCGGCCCAAACAAAUUCCCAAACCAGUCCGAUUAUUAAUCAGCCAAACGAUGCCGUUUUCCAUAUGCAAUCCUAGCCCUCAAUUCUCGAUCUAACGGUCGAGAUUGUCCUAGGUUUCCCAUAUAAAGCUGUCCGAACAAACGCCCCCCACCCCUAUUUCCAGUCAUCUUCUCAAACAACGAACCCUAAUCCCUCCGCCACCAAAUCCCACCGCCCUAGGGUGGCGGCGCCACCUCUAAUCACCACCAAUAUUACACCCUUCGUCUUCCUCACUCUCCUCUUCUCAUCUAUGGCAAGGAUUUCUUUCGAAUCAAACCCUAGCUGUUCGAAUUUGUGGUCGAAAGUUUUUUCCAAUACACAAAAGUGGCCAAACAAGCUGAGUUUGAUACCAGACAGUCUCGUCGUCCCCUUAUUCAUAAAUGCAGGGUCAGUUUUCGUCAAAUAUCACCAAGCCAUCCCCAAAUUCAAAUCUAGGGUUGAAGCUUUUGGCCUUUUCAGAACUUCAUUUGCGAAUGAUUUUGCUUAAUAUUAUGAAUUUAUUUUGAUCGAGGUAAACCCAUAAUAUUAGUCAAAGUUCGUUCCCAGAAACCCUAUGUGCUCGGAUUUUUGUUAGUAAGUGACCUUCUCACUUCUUCCUAGUUUCAUUUUAAUUCAACUCAUGUUUUAUCUCGUAAUUAAUUAUAGUAUUCGUUUCUGAAUAAGUUUAAUUGGUAAUUCGCUUGCAAGUUUCUAGCAAAUUUAGAUUAUUAGUAAUGCAUUGGGAAAUUCAUGCUUAUGAUUAAUUGUUAGUUCAUAUUUUUAACCUUGUUUGAUUUUCGUCCUGUUUUAGUUUAGUCAAUCGUUAGUAAAUUGGUGGGUGUUAAUUAAGUUUUAGUGCAAGUAAUUAGUGUCAGUCAAAUGUUUGUGUGAAAAUUGUUGCUUCUUGAUAAUCAUGAUAUUUUGAUUAUGUGAGUUGUUGGGAAUUUCAGCUGUAGAUUUCAUUUUUGAUUAAUUAGUUUAAUUAGUUGUUCAAAUAGAAGGCAUUAUGUAGAGUUUUGGGAUUUAUUUCUGGGUAGCUGAUUGACUUUUGGUUGAGCAGUAAUUUUAGGAGGUAUAAGGGGUAAUUUGGGCAUGGGAAAAGGAUAUUUUAUUUAGGAAUAGUAAUUUUAAAAUUGUUGCUUCUUCAAAUAAAAAUACUGUUACAUUGCCUUUUCUUGUUCAAUUUUGAAUUUUGGGUUUGGUUUUCAUCUCAUCUAGUCAAUAUUCAUUAGCUCAGGUUUCUGGGAGAUUACUAAUUGGUUUUCAAGAGGAUUUUGGCUUAUAUGAUUCAUUUCUGAGUAGAUCUGAUGGCUACUAUGUGACUUUUAAUUUCUAGUUAUUGCUCUACAUUUUUUGUUUGGUUUCCGAUCAUUCAAAGUUUUGGAGGUGUUGUUGAUUGAUUUCGAGGGAAUUUGGGGUUCAAGCAGGACUAUUUCAGGCUGUUUUUAUCAUCUGGUAAUUUCAAAAAUGGUUCCAGUCCAGCUUUGAGUUGGUUUGGGUGGUUUCGAAUAGCUUUGGUCUGAUAUCGGGUUCAUUUGGGGAUCAUUGGGAGUUUGUUUGAGUUUGUACAAUUGUGUACUGAAUUGGUCUGUUGCUAUUGCUCUAUUCCGGAACAUUUCUGAGUCGUGAAACAUUCUGCUUGUAGUCAUUUGGUUACUGCUGCGGACCUUAUUUCUCCUUUGUUCACUCUUCCAGGUACAUAUUUCGAGCCCCGUUGAUGUAUCAAUGCUGUUGAAAAAAUGAAUAAAUAGAAGUUAUGCUCCUGAUGAUGCUGUCUAGUUUUUUUUCCAACAUUGUUAAUUGUAACAUGUUUUGUAUUUGUUUAAUCCUAAUUGCAUAAGCAUGAACAAAUAUUGGACUGAUUGAAUACAUCUUGUGAAUGGCUCGAA